GAUGUUGGGUUAAGUCCCGCAACGAGCGCAAUCCUUAUCCUUAGUUGCCAGCACGUCUGGGUGGGCACUCUAAGGAAACUGCCGGUGCUAAGCCGGAGGAAGGUGGGGAUGACGUCAAGUCCUCAUGGCCCUUACACCCUGGGCUACACACGUGCUACAAUGGCAGUGACAAUGGGCUAAUCCCAAAAAGCUGUCUCAGUUCAGAUUGUCCUCUGCAACUCGAGGGCAUGAAGUUGGAAUCGCUAGUAAUCGUGGAUCAGCAUGCCACGGUGAAUACGUUCCCGGGCCUUGUACACACCGCCCGUCA
This 307-nucleotide ribosomal RNA is filed under the name Pseudo-nitzschia fraudulenta. RNAcentral's name for it is "partial Bacterial small subunit ribosomal RNA". It matches the Rfam family "Bacterial small subunit ribosomal RNA", at positions 1071 to 1399 of the family's 1533-position model. The record is from RNAcentral. Lineage: Eukaryota; Bacillariophyta; Bacillariophyceae; Bacillariales; Bacillariaceae.